Molecule: ribosomal RNA, 318 nt
Filed under: uncultured eukaryote
Lineage: Eukaryota
Description: partial 18S ribosomal RNA
Rfam family: Eukaryotic small subunit ribosomal RNA
Source: RNAcentral
CCCUUAGAUGUUCUGGGCAGCACGCGCGCUACAAUGGUCUUCGCAAACGGAUGCAUUCUCGAAGGAGAAUGCCAAUCUUGGAAUCUAUGCCUUGGUCGGGACAGUUGCUUGCAAUUUUUCGACUCGAACCAGGAAUUCUUGUAAUCGUGAUUCAUCACAUCACGAUGAAUACGUCCCUGCCCUUUGUACACACCGCCCGUCGCUCCUACCGAUCGAAGAGUUAGGUGAAUUGUUUUGAUCGAUAAGAUUUGACUAUGGUCAACUCUCGUUGUGAAAUUCUGUGAAUCUGACUGUUUAGAGGAAGGAAAAGUCGUAACA